AGCGGGGUGGAGCAGUUGGCAGCUCGUCGGGCUCAUAACCCGAAGGUCGCAGGUUCGAGUCCUGCCUCCGCAA
RNAcentral lists this transfer RNA (73 nucleotides) under Alicyclobacillus tolerans. RNAcentral describes it as "tRNA_Met_CAT". It matches the Rfam family "tRNA". From Rfam's summary of the family: Transfer RNA (tRNA) molecules are approximately 80 nucleotides in length. Their secondary structure includes four short double-helical elements and three loops (D, anti-codon, and T loops). Lineage: Bacteria; Bacillati; Bacillota; Bacilli; Caryophanales; Alicyclobacillaceae. The record is from RNAcentral.